GUCCAAGUGCCUUAUAACAUGUCUUUAUAACUGGCUGUGUAAGAAUGAAGAAAAGCUGUCCAUCUUCUGAGAAGGAAGCAGCAUGUGCCAUCCUUCUGUCAGAAAACACCAAAGAAUCAACUUGGACUUAGGCUGAGAAUGUUAGACUCUGCAGGAUAGCUGCAGGCCCAGGAGAGAACCGUGCUGCAGUUCGAGUCUCCAAGUCAUCUGCUGAGGUUCUCUCGUGCUCAGGGGCAGCUAGUGUUUUGUUCUCUUCAGGCUUUCAAUUGAUUGAAGAUGAAGAAAUGAGAAAUCCAGAAACCAAAGACCUUGCUCUUUUGUCAAACAGACUUGGUAGAGCAGAGUUGCAAAAUCAGACCUUUGGGGGCUUGCGUGUUUCUCCUCUUACUCCCUGGUGUAGAAGCCCUGCCUUGAACUUCAGGCUGCCUGGCUUGGAUCCUGAUGCUGCUUUGCUGACACAAUCCAUUCUCCCAGGGAACACCCAGAGUUCCACUCCAGCCCUGGCAACGCUGCAGCAGAGUAGGCCAACUGUACGGAAAGUCUACAUUGGCUCGGAACAAUUGAGGCUGGGAGAGGCUGGUGAUUUCCUGCUUGGUCGUCUUUUAAAACCCAGCCAUCUGAAUCCGAGAGUUGCUUCUUCAGCAAGGCCUCCCCUGACUCCUUCAGAUGUCUAAGCACCACCCCUACUCUUCUGCUGCAGCAUCUCCACUUGCUUUUGUCCUUCAUCUCCCUGAAAUUAUUUGCUUACUCAUCCAUCCAUGUCAGUUGCAAAAGCAUGACUUCCUCUAGUCCAAAGGCCAUUCAUGUUCAAUAUGUUAGCACUCGGAGCGUCUCCAGUGGUUGUUUCAAACAAGGCAAAUGAGUUCAGUUGAACUUUAUAUGUUCUGCCCUCCGACUGUGACUGUUAUUUACUUCCCUCCAAACAAAAUGUAAUAAUAAAAUGACUAACUGAACACUGCCCUUUA
This 965-nucleotide long non-coding RNA is filed under the name Mus musculus (house mouse). RNAcentral describes it as "RIKEN cDNA E230029C05 gene". Lineage: Eukaryota; Metazoa; Chordata; Mammalia; Rodentia; Muridae. The record is from RNAcentral.